This is a long non-coding RNA of Oryza brachyantha (malo sina), 358 nucleotides long. RefSeq lists it as uncharacterized. The transcript is spliced from 4 exons. Lineage: Eukaryota; Viridiplantae; Streptophyta; Magnoliopsida; Poales; Poaceae. The record is from RefSeq and is a predicted model, not a curated record.
CUUACCGUCUCCAACUUUUUAGAUCCGCUGAUACAACUUAGUCAGUUGAAGUAGUACUGAAGCAGAUGUUCCUCACGGAAGUGGUGGGUGAUGGCAGCAGUGCAGCACAUUGAAGUUAUGCAUUUUAGAGAGAGCAUCAAGGAAAUUAUGAAUGAGGAGUUUGGCGAUGAAAUAUGCAAACAUCCAUAGUCCUGUACUUUCGGCAGCCAAAAUGGAGAUUCAUUGACUAUUUGUAGGCCCCUUAAAUCCCAUGCAAGAAGCCUUCUAUCUUAUAUGAUCAGCUUAUCCAUAGCCUCCUAUCAUAAAGCAACUAUAUUGCUCCUAGCAAUUUUGUCCGUACAACAUACUGACUGCUUAU